AUGAACGCUGGCGGCGUGCCUAAUACAUGCAAGUCGAGCGCACGGACGAGAAGCUUGCUUCUCUGAUGUUAGCGGCGGACGGGUGAGUAACACGUGGAUAACCUACCUAUAAGACUGGGAUAACUUCGGGAAACCGGAGCUAAUACCGGAUAAUAUUUUGAACCGCAUGGUUCAAAAGUGAAAGACGGUCUUGCUGUCACUUAUAGAUGGAUCCGCGCUGCAUUAGCUAGUUGGUAAGGUAACGGCUUACCAAGGCAACGAUGCAUAGCCGACCUGAGAGGGUGAUCGGCCACACUGGAACUGAGACACGGUCCAGACUCCUACGGGAGGCAGCAGUAGGGAAUCUUCCGCAAUGGGCGAAAGCCUGACGGAGCAACGCCGCGUGAGUGAUGAAGGUCUUCGGAUCGUAAAACUCUGUUAUUAGGGAAGAACGUAUGUGUAAGUAACUGUGCACAUCUUGACGGUACCUAAUCAGAAAGCCACGGCUAACUACGUG
This 496-nucleotide ribosomal RNA is filed under the name uncultured bacterium. Its description in RNAcentral is "partial 16S ribosomal RNA". It matches the Rfam family "Bacterial small subunit ribosomal RNA", at positions 29 to 507 of the family's 1533-position model. The record is from RNAcentral.